UUUUAUCAAGGAAGAAAAGCAAAUGGCGAACCAUUUGUUUGCCGGUACUUGAUGAAUAAGCCCCGGCUAAUUAUGUGCCAGCAGCCGCGGUAAGACAUAAGGGGCAAGUGUUAUCCGGAAUUAUUGGGCGUAAAGGGUGCGUAGGCGGUCUAGUAAGUCAGUGGUGUAAUGGCAACGCUUAACGUUGUCCGGCUAUUGAAACUGCUAAACUUGAGUUAGAUAGAGGCGAGUGGAAUUCCAUGUGUAGCGGUAAAAUGCGUAAAUAUAUGGAGGAACACCAGAGGCGUAGGCGGCUCGCUGGGUCUUAACUGACGCUGAGGCACGAAAGCGUGGGGAGCAAACAGGAUUAGAUACCCUGGUAGUCCACGCCGUAAACGAUGAGUACUAAGUGUCGGGUUAAACCGGUACUGAAGUUAACACAUUAAGUACUCCGCCUGAGUAGUACGUACGCAAGUAUGAAACUUAAAGGAAUUGACGGGACUCCGCACAAGCGGUGGAUCAUGUUGUUUAAUUCGAAGAUACCCGAAAAACCUUACCAGGUCUUGACAUGUUUUUGCAAAAUGAUAGUAAUAUCGUGGAGGUUACCAGAAACACAGGUGGUGCAUGGUUGUCGUCAGCUCGUGUCGUGAGAUGUUAGGUUAAGUCCUAAAACGAGCGAAACCCUUAUCGUUAGUUGCCAGCACGUUAUGGUGGGGACUUUAACGAGACUGCCAAUGAUAAAUUGGAGGAAGGUGAGGAUCACGUCAAAUCAGCAUGCCCCUUAU
Molecule: ribosomal RNA, 764 nt
Filed under: 'Calendula officinalis' phytoplasma
Lineage: Bacteria; Bacillati; Mycoplasmatota; Mollicutes; Acholeplasmatales; Acholeplasmataceae
Description: bacterial SSU rRNA
Rfam family: Bacterial small subunit ribosomal RNA
Source: RNAcentral